Molecule: ribosomal RNA, 497 nt
Filed under: uncultured bacterium
Lineage: Bacteria
Description: partial 16S ribosomal RNA
Rfam family: Bacterial small subunit ribosomal RNA
Source: RNAcentral
GAUGAACGCUGGCGGCGUGCCUAAUACAUGCAAGUCGAGCGAACAGACGAGGAGCUUGCUCCUUUGACGUUAGCGGCGGACGGGUGAGUAACACGUGGGUAACCUACCUAUAAGACUGGGACAACUUCGGGAAACCGGAGCUAAUACCGGAUAAUAUUUCGAACCGCAUGGUUCGAUAGUGAAAGAUGGCUUUGCUAUCACUUAUAGAUGGACCUGCGCCGUAUUAGCUAGUUGGUAAGGUAACGGCUUACCAAGGCAACGAUACGUAGCCGACCUGAGAGGGUGAUCGGCCACACUGGAACUGAGACACGGUCCAGACUCCUACGGGAGGCAGCAGUAGGGAAUCUUCCGCAAUGGGCGAAAGCCUGACGGAGCAACGCCGCGCGAGUGAUGAAGGUCUUCGGAUCGUAAAACUCUGUUAUUAGGGAAGAACAAACGUGUAAGUAACUGUGCACGUCUUGACGGUACCUAAUCAGAAAGCCACGGCUAACUACGUG